GAUGAACGCUGGCGGCGUGCCUAAUACAUGCAAGUCGAGCGAACAGACGAGGAGCUUGCUCCUCUGACGUUAGCGGCGGACGGGUGAGUAACACGUGGAUAACCUACCUAUAAGACUGGGAUAACUUCGGGAAACCGGAGCUAAUACCGGAUAAUAUAUUGAACCGCAUGGUUCAAUUGUGAAAGACGGUUUUGCUGUCACUUAUAGAUGGAUCCGCGCCGCAUUAGCUAGUUGGUAAGGUAACGGCUUACCAAGGCAACGAUGCGUAGCCGACCUGAGAGGGUGAUCGGCCACACUGGAACUGAGACACGGUCCAGACUCUUACGGGAGGCAGCAGUAGGGAAUCUUCCGCAAUGGGCGAAAGCCUGACGGAGCAACGCCGCGUGAGUGAUGAAGGUCUUCGGAUCGUAAAACUCUGUUAUUAGGGAAGAACAAAUGUGUAAGUAACUAUGCACGUCUUGACGGUACCUAAUCAGAAAGCCACGGCUAACUACGUG
This 497-nucleotide ribosomal RNA is filed under the name uncultured bacterium. Its description in RNAcentral is "partial 16S ribosomal RNA". It matches the Rfam family "Bacterial small subunit ribosomal RNA", at positions 28 to 507 of the family's 1533-position model. The record is from RNAcentral.